CGAGUCGGCCGGGUGACCGCGGCAUCAUGGCGCAUCUUCGGAUGCACACGGUGUCGAGGAAAGUCGGGACUCCACAGGGCAGAGUGCUGGCGCGAGCCAGGUGGGGGCGACCUCACGGACAGUGCAACAGAGAAAGUCCGCCGAUGGAUUGGGCAACCAAUCACAGGUAAGGGUGCAACGGUGCGGUAAGAGCGCACCAGCAUGUCAGGCGACUGGCAUGGCUCGGUAAACCCCAUUCGGAGCAAGGCCGAGCAGAGGGGAUGGACGGCCCGUCUGUCCUUCGGGACACCCCUCGGGUAGGCCGCAGAGAUGGAUGGUCACCGCACGAUUUCGGUCGUGUACAGAAUCCCGCUUACAAGCCGACUCGCCGU
This 371-nucleotide RNase P RNA is filed under the name Actinomycetota bacterium. RNAcentral describes it as "RNase P RNA component class A". It matches the Rfam family "Bacterial RNase P class A". From Rfam's summary of the family: Ribonuclease P (RNase P) is a ubiquitous endoribonuclease, found in archaea, bacteria and eukarya as well as chloroplasts and mitochondria. Its best characterised activity is the generation of mature 5'-ends of tRNAs by cleaving the 5'-leader elements of precursor-tRNAs. The record is from RNAcentral. Lineage: Bacteria; Bacillati; Actinomycetota.